UGGCCAUGUCCCUUAUGGAAGACUAGUGAUUUUGUUGUUCUAUAGCUCAUCUCACGACAACAAGUCACAGUCUGCCUUAUGGUGUACGGCCUC
Molecule: microRNA precursor, 93 nt
Organism: Pelodiscus sinensis (Chinese soft-shelled turtle)
Lineage: Eukaryota; Metazoa; Chordata; Testudines; Trionychidae
Source: Ensembl